RNAcentral lists this ribosomal RNA (290 nucleotides) under Stenotrophomonas sp. Sm5341. Its description in RNAcentral is "partial 16S ribosomal RNA". It matches the Rfam family "Bacterial small subunit ribosomal RNA", at positions 1 to 287 of the family's 1533-position model. The record is from RNAcentral. Lineage: Bacteria; Pseudomonadati; Pseudomonadota; Gammaproteobacteria; Lysobacterales; Lysobacteraceae.
UAAGUGAAGAGUUUGAUCCUGGCUCAGAGUGAACGCUGGCGGUAGGCCUAACACAUGCAAGUCGAACGGCAGCACAGGAGAGCUUGCUCUCUGGGUGGCGAGUGGCGGACGGGUGAGGAAUACAUCGGAAUCUACUCUGUCGUGGGGGAUAACGUAGGGAAACUUACGCUAAUACCGCAUACGACCUACGGGUGAAAGCAGGGGACCUUCGGGCCUUGCGCGAUUGAAUGAGCCGAUGUCGGAUUAGCUAGUUGGCGGGGUAAAGGCCCACCAAGGCGACGAUCCGUAGC